GCUACCAUUAAACUAAGAAAGGUUCACAUUCACAGACUGAAUCAGCUAUAACUAUAAGGAUGCAGUCAUGGUAUUAAGAUCAACAUGUAAGUCAGACCUAAGAACCACAUACUUUUGAAGUUUAAAGGAUUUGUCAUGUAUCGUAUGUUGAUUCCAAAACUCUCUAUUUCAAUAGUCAAAAUAAAUAGGAGUCGCUUGAGCCACCAAAGUUACUUAUCGUGGGAACAGGUCAUAGCCCAAGAAGUGAGAACAGUAAUCUGAUUUUCGUUUUCACCGUUAUAUUUCAAGCCAAACCUUCGUUUUCUUUGCACCAUCAUAAACCCCAUAACUUCAUAAACCUUGUUUUUGACACCCAAUGACCAAUAAUUAUGAGCCUAACAACCCUUCCUCCAACUGGUCAGGACAAUCACAAGUUCACAACAUCCAAACCAGAUCUUUUUAUCCAUGGAAAACCACUUUAACUUACUUAUAGACGCCACUACUUCUAUUCUUGUUAGUGUUGUCAUAAAUCACAUCAUCCUCAGCUUAUGAGCAGAACGACCACGGAACCCAGGAAGCAUCUAAACAUAUCACUUCUUAACAGACAGAGUAAAACAACCUUCUAAUUUGGGCCAAAAAAAUAAGCAGAAGAAAAAGAAGAAACCUUUAUAACUCACCCAAGAAGAGAAAUUCUAGAA
RNAcentral lists this unclassified non-coding RNA (677 nucleotides) under Hevea brasiliensis (rubber tree). Lineage: Eukaryota; Viridiplantae; Streptophyta; Magnoliopsida; Malpighiales; Euphorbiaceae. The record is from RNAcentral.